GACGAACGCUGGCGGCGUGCUUAACACAUGCAAGUCGAACGGAAAGGCCCUGCUUUUGUGGGGUGCUCGAGUGGCGAACGGGUGAGUAACACGUGAGUAACCUGCCCUUGACUUUGGGAUAACUUCAGGAAACUGGGGCUAAUACCGGAUAGGAGCUCCUGCUUCAUGGUGUGGGUUGGAAAGUUUCGGCGGUUGGGGAUGGACUCGCGGCUUAUCAGCUUGUUGGUGGGGUAGUGGCUUACCAAGGCUUUGACGGGUAGCCGGCCUGAGAGGGUGACCGGCCACAUUGGGACUGAGAUACGGCCCAGACUCCUACGGGAGGCAGCAGUGGGGAAUAUUGCACAAUGGGCGGAAGCCUGAUGCAGCAACGCCGCGUGCGGGAUGACGGCCUUCGGGUUGUAAACCGCUUUCGCCUGUGACGAAGCGUGAGUGACGGUAAUGGGUAAAGAAGCACCGGCUAACUACGUG
Molecule: ribosomal RNA, 468 nt
Filed under: uncultured bacterium
Lineage: Bacteria
Description: partial 16S ribosomal RNA
Rfam family: Bacterial small subunit ribosomal RNA
Source: RNAcentral